This is a non-coding RNA of Onychostoma macrolepis, 406 nucleotides long. NCBI's taxonomy places the organism in Eukaryota, Metazoa, Chordata, Actinopteri, Cypriniformes, Cyprinidae. The record is from the annotation of a RefSeq genome assembly.
AUGGUACUUCAUUCUGUUAUUCUGCUAUUUGGAUUUGCAUGUACUGUGUAUGGAAAUGAAAUUAGACCAAUUAAAACUGAGGAGUUUGCUGAUGAGGGUUCUAGUGUUACAUUAUCCUGCAGUUAUGCAUCUGCACUGUCUUUAUUCUGGUACCGUCAGUAUCCCGGAUCAGCUCCUGAAUUCCUUGUAACCCUCACAUAUCGUGCAACUGAAGCUAAGAAGUCUGAUGUAGAUCCCAGAUUCACUGCUAAACCCAACAAAGAAAAGCAAAACCAUGUGGAUCUGGAGAUCUCCUCUGCAUCUUUAUCAGACUCUGCUCUGUACUACUGUGCCAUGGAGCCCACAGAGACAGGAAACACAUGAACACUGUACAAAAACCUGACACAUCUGAGAAGAAAAAUCUAUU